RNAcentral lists this ribosomal RNA (292 nucleotides) under uncultured bacterium. RNAcentral describes it as "partial 16S ribosomal RNA". It matches the Rfam family "Bacterial small subunit ribosomal RNA", at positions 505 to 796 of the family's 1533-position model. The record is from RNAcentral.
GUGUCAGCAGCCGCGGUAAUACGUAGGGUGCAAGCGUUGUCCGGAUUUAUUGGGCGUAAAGAGCUCGUAGGCGGUUAGUCACGUCGGAUGUGAAAACCCGGAGCUUAACUCCGGGCCUGCAUUCGAUACGGGCUGACUAGAGUGUUGUAGGGGAGACUGGAACUCCUGGUGUAGCGGUGAAAUGCGCAGAUAUCAGGAAGAACACCGGUGGCGAAGGCGGGUCUCUGGGCAACUACUGACGCUGAGGAGCGAAAGCGUGGGGAGCAAACAGGAUUAGAAACCCUGGUAGUCC